This is a non-coding RNA of Anas platyrhynchos (mallard), 142 nucleotides long. Lineage: Eukaryota; Metazoa; Chordata; Aves; Anseriformes; Anatidae. The record is from RefSeq and is a predicted model, not a curated record.
AGACCACCACCAGAACUGCUGUCGUAGCCACCACAGUAAUAGACGGCCUCAUCCUCGGCUUGGACCCCAGUGAUGGUUAACGUCGCUGUGGAGCCAGAUAUGGAACCAGAGAAUCGUGAAAGGAUGCCCGAGGGUCUGUUGC